GAACUUGAUACAGUACAUUGCAGGCUGGCCAGAGAAGUAUACUAAAUACACCAUUCUAAUGUAAUACUGGUAAAUUACCUCAACUACAGUCACUCUCACCUUGUUCAAGUUCAAAUGCAGUUAAUUAUCAAAUACCAUCCCCUUUAGUGAAGUUAAACAGCAAGUCUUAUUACAGUCCAAUAGAUUUGUGUAGAAAUUCCUUCAUGCUGCCUCCUAUAUAUAGAUAAUGAGAGGGAACAACUUCAGCUCAGUUGAUGAAAUACUGUGCGGGUCAGAAACACACUUCUUACAUUUACAGCUAAAAACGAAUAAUAUAUUUGCACUUUAUAUUAGGCCUUAGCAAAGUCCUCCCACCAAAUAGUGUCACAAAAACAGAAUAAUUAGAAAAUUGCUAGGCCUACACAUUGAGGUGUGCUACAAGAUAACUGGUAACUCUGUAAACAGGAGUAGGUGCAUCACUGGUCACUGAGCUGGCCAGCUAAAGUUAGUUAGUUAGUCACAUAAAUGUACGUUCAGCCUGAUGAUUAUUUAUCUUACGAAGUCAGCAUGGCUUAACAUAGUUUAUUUCGUUUUUGACCUCGACAUUGUUGCUGGAUAGAUACUUUCAUACGUAAUAUGCUGGCGCUGCUAGCUAGCUAAUGCUAACGGCGCUAGCUAACCUCAUAUCUGGAUGCCCCACUCUAGUUCCCGAGAGAGCAGCAUACUGGCCCUCCAUUCCCAAACCUGAAGCCACCUGUCCCCAGCAGGAAAGACCAGGAAAAAGUGCUAGCUUAAGGUACAACUUCCAUUUUGAGGAAAUAUAAGACAACUCAAUGUCACAUUUAGAUUUAGAGUUACUGACAUGAAUAGAAGCAUAUACAAGCAAUCUAUCAAAUGUAUUUUAUUAAACCCCAUUUUACAUCAGCAGUAGUCACAACGUGCUUAUACAGAUACCCAGCCUAAACCCCAAAGAGCAAGCAAUGCAGAGGUAGAAGCAGUGUCUAGGAAAAACUCCCCAGAAAGGCAGGAACCUAGGAAGAAACCAGGCUCUGAGGGGUUGCCAGUCCUCUUCUGGCUGUGCUGGUGGAGAUUAUAAAAGAGUCCAGCUAUUUAGCCAGAUUAUUCUUCAAGAUGUUUAAACGUUCAUAGAUGACCAGCAGUGUCAAAUAAUAGAGGGUCGCUGGAACUUCCAGAGGCUUGUAAACCUGAAGCAGUGUGAUGUGGUCCAGAUCUGACACCCCUAUUAGCUCAACCACAGUCUUCACAGCUGCAGUCGUCUGCCCCUGCAUCUGCUACACCGGCCACGACAGGUGAUACAGAUCUGCCACCCCCAGCAGUUCAGCUGCAGUCACAGCAGUCCUCUGCUGUGGUAUUUAAUUUACCGGCUGCACCAGGUCCUACUACACUGGCCGUUAAGGAAGAAACUAUUUUUUACGAUACCCAGAUGAAUACAGAUCUGCCAUGUACUCCACCACUGCCUGACAGCCUCACCCAGACGUGCAUACACACGGGGCCUAGCAAGACUGACAAAGCAGAGAUGGGUGGCUGACAAGGAAAAAUAAAACAACAUGCACUCAAACACAUUAUACACAAUGUAAAUAAGUUGUAAUUACCUGUUCAUUUAAUGUUUGGUCCAUUUUAUUUUAGGAUUGGAGAGAUCUACUCCUUCAUAUCCAUUGUCAAUAUCUACAUAAUUACUCUAAAUAUCUAUCAAAUUAAAGUGUGAUUGAUAAUUUUGUAAAAGGC
Oncorhynchus mykiss (rainbow trout) is the source of this 1725-nucleotide non-coding RNA. The record is from RefSeq and is a predicted model, not a curated record. NCBI's taxonomy places the organism in Eukaryota, Metazoa, Chordata, Actinopteri, Salmoniformes, Salmonidae.